GGGAGCAAGGGGGGCUCGUCAUUCUCUUCGCCGGCGAUUUGUGGUCGUUCUCGCCGAAGGGGGAGACGCACCGGGAGUGAGGGCGGGUUCACGCGUCGAUCUCGUCGCCCGACGAUUCGUCCUCACCAAGGGGAGGCGCGCCGGGAGCGAGGGUGGCGCACUCCCGUGCGUGAUUUUAUCCGGCGGCCUGGGGGUGAUUCAUCUUUCGUUGAGGGAGCACGCUGCGAAGGGAGGGACGACUCCGUGCGCAGGGACCUGCACUCCAUUCGCAGGACAUUCUUUUUAAGGCACAUCCUCUAGAUUUUGAGUGACAGGACCAAUGGAGAAGAAGCUGCGAUAGCGGUAUAUUUGUCAUGAAACUCAUGCAAAGCCAUGAUGGCGAGAAGCAACACCUGUUCAAACCAGAAGAUGCAAAACCAUUGCGUGAAUGCAUAUCCUACUACUUGCUGAUACACCCAUGCAAAGAAAAGUACGAAACCCUUGUUGAAAUAAAAAACAUAUUAAGCAUGCAUAGCGUGACCAUCGAGUUCUAUAAGUGAAGAUGGUGGUGUGCAGUUUAUGGUUACAAAAAAGAUGACCUUAUUCGAUGUAUAUUAUGGACGCAUACGUUGGAGAACAAUAGCCAAUCAGUUUUUUUUAUUUUUUUAAACAAAAAAUCCACCCUCCUAUACGUCUGAGCAUGAGAUCCCGGAGAAUUGUUUCACAUUUUAAUUAAAUAUUUGUGACUUUUUUGUUCCUA
This is a long non-coding RNA of Panicum virgatum (switchgrass), 739 nucleotides long. RefSeq lists it as uncharacterized. Lineage: Eukaryota; Viridiplantae; Streptophyta; Magnoliopsida; Poales; Poaceae. The record is from RefSeq and is a predicted model, not a curated record. The transcript has 5 exons.